GGCUAUCAUGUGUUUGAAGAUACCCUAAACUUAACCUAACAUAACCUAUCAAAACCCCAAACAGUUAUUAUAUGGAUUGACUCAGAAAAUUCAUAUAUGCUUCCUUACUAAUGAGACUUUCUAUACAACUAAGUGAGGGAAUUCUUUGAUGAUUUAUACUGUAAAGUGCUGGCUAUCAUGUGUUUGAAGAUACCCUAAACUUAACCUAACAUAACCUAUCAAAACCCCAAACAGUUAUUAUAUGGAUUGACUCAGAAAAUUCAUAUAUGCUUCCUUACUAAUGAGACUUUCUAUACAACUAAGUGAGGCCAUUCUUUGUUGAUUCAUACUGUAAAGUGCUGGCUAUCAUGUGUUUGAAGAUACCCUAAACUUAACCUAACAUAACCUAUCAAAACCCCAAACAGUUAUUAUAUGGAUUGACUCAGAAAAUUCAUAUAUGCUUCCUUACUAAUGAGACUUUCUAUACAACUAAGUGAGGUCAUUCUUUGUUGAUAUAUACUGUAAAGUGCUGGCUAUCAUGUGUUUGAAGAUAUCCUAAACUUAACCUAACAUAACCUAUCAAAACCCGAAACAGUUACUAUAUGGAUUAACUCAGAAAAUUCAUAUAUGCUUCCUUACUAACGAGACUUUCUAUACAACUAAGUGAGGUCAUUCUUUGUUGAUUUAUACUGUAAAGUGCUGGCUAUCAUGUGUUUGAAGAUACGCUAAACCUAACCUAACAUAACCUAUCAAAACCCAAAAGUUACUAUAUAUGGAUUGACUCAAAAAAUUCAUAUAUGCUUCCUUACUAACAAGACUCUCUAUACAACUAAGUGAGGUCAUUCUUUGUUGAUUUAUACUGUAAAGUGCUGGCUAUCAUGUGUUUGAAGAUACCCUAAACUUAACCUAACAUAACCUAUCAAAACCCCAAACAGUUACUAUAUGGAUUGACUCAGAAAAUUCAUAUAUGCUUCCUUACUAAUGAGACUUUGAAUACAACUUAGUGAGGUCAUUCUUUGUUGAUAUAUACUGUAAAGUGCUGGCUAUCAUGUGUUUGAAGAUACCCUAAACUUAACCUAACAGAACCUAUCAAAACCCCAAACAGUUACUAUAUGGAUUGAUUCAGAAAAUUCAUAUAUGCUUCCUUACUAGUGAGACUUUCUAUAGAACUAAGUGAGGUCUUUCUUUGUUGAUUCAUACUGUAAAGUGCUGGCUAUCAUGUGUUUGAAGAUACCCUAAACUUAACCUAACAUAACCUAUCAAAACCCCAAACAGUUACUUAAGGGAUUGACUCAGAAAAUUCAUAUAUACUUCCUUACUAAUGAGACUUUCUAUAGAACUAAGUGAGGUCAUUCUUUGUUGAUAUAUACUGUAAAGUGCUGGCUAUCAUGUGUUUGAAGAUACCCUAAACUUAACCUAUCAAAACGUCAAACAGUUACUAUAUGGAUUGACUCAGAAAAUUCAUAUAUGCUUCCUUACUUAUGAGACUUUCUAUAUAACUAAGUGAGGUCAUUCUUUGUUGAUUUAUACUGUAAAGUGCUGGCUAUCAUGUGUUUGAAGAUACCCUAAACUUAACCUAUCAAAACCCCAAACAGUUACUAUAGGUCUUGACUCAGAAAAUUCAUAUAUGCUUCCUUACUAAUGAGACUUUCUAUACAACUAAGUGAGGUCAUUCUUUGUUGAUUUAUACUGUAAAGUGCUGGCUAUCAUGUGUUUGAAGAUACCCUAAACUUAACCUAACAUAACCUAUCAAAACCCCAAACAGUUACUAUAGGUCUUGUCUCAGAAAAUUCAUAAAUGCUUCCUUACUAAUGAGACUUUCAAUACAACUAAGUGAGGUCUUUCUUUGUUGAUUCAUACUGUAAAGUGCUGGCUAUCAUGUGUUUGAAGAUACCCUAAACUUAACCUAACAUAACCUAUCAAAACCCCAAACAGUUACUACAGGUCUUGACUCAGAAAAUUCAUAUAUGCUUCCUUACUAAUGAGACUUUCUAUAGAACUAAGUGAGGUCAUUCUUUGUUGAUAUAUACUGUAAAGUGCUGGCUAUCAUGUGUUUGAAGAUACCCUAAACUUAACCUAACAUAACCUAUCAAAACCCAAAAGUUACUAUAUAUGGAUUGACUCAAAAAAUUCAUAUAUGCUUCCUUACUAACAAGACUCUCUAUACAACUAAGUGAGGUCAUUCUUUGUUGAUAUAUACUGUAAAGUGCUGGCUAUCAUGUGUUUGAAGAUACCCUAAACUUAACCUAACAUAACCUAUCAAAACCACUAACAGUUACUAUAGGUCUUGUCUCAGAAAAUUCAUAUAUGCUUCCUUACUAAUGAGACUUUCUAUACAACUAAGUGAGGUCAUUCUUUGUUGAUUUAUACUGUAAAGUGCUGGCUAUCAUGUGUUUGAAGAUACCCUAAACUUAACCUAACAUAACCUAUCAAAACCACUAACAGUUACUAUAGGUCUUGUCUCAGAAAAUUCAUAUAUGCUUCCUUACUAAUGAGACUUUCAAUACAACUAAGUGAGGUCAUUCUUUGUUGAUUCAUACUGUAAAGUGCUGGCUAUCAUGUGUUUGAAGAUACCCUAAACUUAACCUAACAUAACCUAUCAAAACCCCAAACAGUUACUAUAUGGAUUGACUCAGAAAAUUCAUAUAUGCUUCCUUACUAAUGAGACUUUCUAUACAACUAAGUGAGGUCAUUCUUUGUUGAUUUAUACUGUAAAGUGCUGGCUAUCAUGUGUUUGAAGAUACCCUAAACUUAACCUAACAUAACCUAUCAAAACCCCAAACAGUUACUAUAUGGAUUGACUCAGAAAAUUCAUAUAUGCUUCCUUACUAAUGAGACUUUCUAUACAACUAAAUGAGGUCAUUCUUUGUUGAUUUAUACUGUAAAGUGCUGGCUAUCAUGUGUUUGAAGAUACCCAAAACUUAACCAAACAUAACCUAUCAAAACCCGAAACAGUUACUAUAUAUGGAUUAACUCAGAAAAUUCAUAUAUGCUUCCUUACUAAUGAGACUUUGAAUACAACUUAGUGAGGUCAUUCUUUGUUGAUAUAUACUGUAAAGUGCUGGCUAUCAUGUGUUUGAAGAUACCCAAACUUAACCUAACAUAACCUAUCAAAACCCCAAACAGUUACUAUAUGGAUUGACUCAGAAAAUUCAUAUAUGCUUCCUUACUAAUGAGACUUUCUAUACAACUAAGUGAGGGAAUUCUUUGAUGAUUUAUACUGUAAAGUGCUGGCUAUCAUGUGUUUGAAGAUACCCUAAACUUAACCUAACAUAACCUAUCAAAACCACUAACAGUUACUAUAGGUCUUGUCUCAGAAAAUUCAUAUAUGCUUCCUUACUAAUGAGACUUUCAAUACAACUAAGUGAGGUCAUUCUUUGUUGAUUCAUACUGUAAAGUGCUGGCUAUCAUGUGUUUGAAGAUACCCUAAACUUAACCUAACAUAACCUAUCAAAACCACUAACAGUUACUAUAGGUCUUGUCUCAGAAAAUUCAUAUAUGCUUCCUUACUAAUGAGACUUUCAAUACAACUAAGUGAGGUCAUUCUUUGUUGAUUUAUACUGUAAAGUGCUGGCUAUCAUGUGUUUGAAGAUACCCUAAACUUAACCUAACAUAACCUAUCAAAACCCCCAAACAGUUACUAUAUGGAUUGACUCAGAAAAUUCAUAUAUGCUUCCUUACUAAUGAGACUUUCUAUACAACUAAGUGAGGUCAUUCUUUGUUGAUAUAUACUGUAAAGUGCUGGCUAUCAUGUGUUUGAAGAUACCCUAAACUUAACCUAACAUAACCUAUCAAAACAAAAAACAUUUACUAUAUAUGGAUUGACUCAGAAAAUUCAUAUAUGCUUCCUUACUAAUGAGACUUUCUAUAGAACUAAGUGAGGUCAUUCUUUGUUGAUUCAUACUGUAAAGUGCUGGCUAUCAUGUGUUUGAAGAUACCCUAAACUUAACCUAACAUAACCUAUCAAAACCCCAAACAGUUACUAUAGAAAAUUCAUAUAUGCUUCCUUACUAAUGAGACUUUCAAUACAACUAAGUGAGGUCAUUCUUUGUUGAUAUAUACUGUAAAGUGCUGGCUAUCAUGUGUUUGAAGAUACCCUAAACUUAACCUAACAUAACCUAUCAAAACCCCAAACAGUUACUAUAGGUCUUGACUCAGAAAAUUCAUAUAUGCUUCCUUACUAAUGAGACUUUCUAUACAACUAAGUGAGGUCAUUCUUUGUUGAUUUAUACUGUAAAGUGCUGGCUAUCAUGUGUUUGAAGAUACCCUAAACUUAACCUAACAUAACCUAUCAAAACCCCAAACAGUUACUAUAGGUCUUGACUCAGAAAAUUCAUAUAUGCUUCCUUACUAAUGAGACUUUCUAUACAACUAAGUGAGGUCAUUCUUUGUUGAUUUAUACUGUAAAGUGCUGGCUAUCAUGUGUUUGAAGAUACCCUAAACUUAACCUAACAUAACCUAUCAAAACCCCAAACAGUUACUAUAGGUCUUGACUCAGAAAAUUCAUAUAUGCUUCCUUACUAAUGAGACUUUCUAUACAACUAAGUGAGGUCAUUCUUUGUUGAUUUAUACUGUAAAGUGCUGGCUAUCAUGUGUUUGAAGAUACCCUAAACUUAACCUAACAUAACCUAUCAAAACCCCAAACAGUUACUAUAGGUCUUGACUCAGAAAAUUCAUAUAUGCUUCCUUACUAAUGAGACUUUCUAUACAACUAUGUGAGGUCAUUCUUUGUUGAUUUAUACUGUAAAGUGCUGGCUAUCAUGUGUUUGAAGAUACCCUAAACUUAACCUAACAUAACCUAUCAAAACCCCAAACAGUUACUAUAGGUCUUGACUCAGAAAAUUCAUAUAUGCUUCCUUACUAAUGAGACUUUCUAUACAACUAAGUGAGGUCAUUCUUUGUUGAUUUAUACUGUAAAGUGCUGGCUAUCAUGUGUUUGAAGAUACCCUAAACUUAACCUAACAUAACCUAUCAAAACCCCAAACAGUUACUAUAUAUGGAUUAACUCAGAAAAUUCAUAUAUGCUUCCUUACUAAUGAGACUCUCUAUACAACUAAGUGAGGUCAUUCUUUGUUGAUUUAUACUGUAAAGUGCUGGCUAUCAUGUGUUUGAAGAUACCCUAAACUUAACCUAACAUAACCUAUCAAAACCCCAAACAGUUACUAUAGGUCUUGACUCAGAAAAUUCAUAUAUGCUUCCUUACUAAUGAGACUUUCUAUACAACUAAGUGAGGUCAUUCUUUGUUGAUUUAUACUGUAAAGUGCUGGCUAUCAUGUGUUUGAAGAUACCCUAAACUUAACCUAACAUAACCUAUCAAAACCCCAAACAGUUACUAUAGGUCUUGACUCAGAAAAUUCAUAUAUGCUUCCUUACUAAUGAGACUUUCAAUACAACUAAGUGAGGUCAUUCUUUGUUGAUUUAUACUGUAAAGUGCUGGCUAUCAUGUGUUUGAAGAUACCCUAAACUUAA
Long non-coding RNA from Eriocheir sinensis (Chinese mitten crab), 5448 nucleotides. RefSeq lists it as uncharacterized. The record is from RefSeq and is a predicted model, not a curated record. Lineage: Eukaryota; Metazoa; Arthropoda; Malacostraca; Decapoda; Varunidae. The transcript has 8 exons.